Molecule: ribosomal RNA, 390 nt
Filed under: Triticum aestivum (bread wheat)
Lineage: Eukaryota; Viridiplantae; Streptophyta; Magnoliopsida; Poales; Poaceae
Description: partial small subunit ribosomal RNA
Source: RNAcentral
AUGAAAACCAAUACAACUCCUGGCCUAGAUGGCUUACCAGUAAUCUUUUAGAAACAUUUUUGGGAGAUGGUUAAAGAGAUGGUCAAAAGAAUGCUUGAUAGCCAGCAUGCUGAGGAGUUGCAACUUAGAAGACUUAAUUAUGGGGUGGUUACUCUGAUUCCUAAAACGAAAGAUGCUGCAACUAUCAAGCAAUAUCGUCCAAUAUGUUUAUAUUACGUUUGUUAGAAAAUUGUGACUGAAGUACUGACAAAUAGGCUUGAGAGAGUUGUAGAUAAGGUGGUGAGUAAGAGUCAGACGGCAUUUAUGAAAAACGGAAAUAUUUUAGAUGGGGUGGUCACUAUCCAUGAGGUGUUUCAUGAGCUUAGGAGGUGUAGUGAGUAUCAAUAUUAA